AACGAACGCUGGCGGCAGGCCUCAAACAUGCAAGUCUAGGGGGUGCAGCAAUGCAUCACCGGCGGACGGGUGCGUAACGCGUGGGAAUAUACCUAUUGGUUCGGAACAACUGCGGGAAACUGCAGCUAAUACCGAAUGUGCCCGAAAGGGGAAAGAUUUAUCGCCAAUGGAUUAGCCCGCGUAGGAUUAGCUAGUUGGUGGGGUAAUGGCCCACCAAGGCUCCGAUCCUCAGCUGUUCUGAGAGGAAGAUCAGCCACACUGGGACUGAGACACGGCCCAGACUCCUACGGGAGGCAGCAGUUGGGAAUCUUGGACAAUGGGGAAACCCUGAUCCAGCCAUGCCGCGUGAGUGAUGAA
Molecule: ribosomal RNA, 357 nt
Filed under: uncultured bacterium
Lineage: Bacteria
Description: bacterial SSU rRNA
Rfam family: Bacterial small subunit ribosomal RNA
Source: RNAcentral